This 433-nucleotide ribosomal RNA is filed under the name uncultured bacterium. RNAcentral's name for it is "partial 16S ribosomal RNA". It matches the Rfam family "Bacterial small subunit ribosomal RNA", at positions 29 to 507 of the family's 1533-position model. The record is from RNAcentral.
AACGAACGCUGGCGGCAUGCCUAACACAUGCAAGUCGAACGAGACCUUCGGGUCUAGUUGCGCACGGGUGCGUAACGCGUGGGAACCUGCCCUUAGGUUCGGAAUACCUCCCCGAAAGGGGUGCUAAUACCGGAUAAUUUCUUCGGACCAAAGAUUUAUCGCCUUUGGAUGGGCCCGCGUUGGAUUAGCUUGUUGGUAUGGUAAACGCCUACCAAGGCUACGAUCCAUAGCUGGUCUGAGAGGAUGAUCAGCCACACUGGGACUGAGACACGGCCCAGACUCCUACGGGAGGCAGCAGUGGGGAAUAUUGGAAAAUGGGCGAAAGCCUGAUCCAGCAAUGCCGCGUGAGUGAUGAAGGCCUUAGGGUUGUAAAGCUCGUUUACCCGGGAUGAUAAUGACAGUACCGGGAGAAUAAGCUCCGGCUAACUCCGUG